AAUAUUGGACAAUGGGGGCAACCCUGAUCCAGCCAUGCCGCGUUUGUGAAGAAGGUCUUCGGAUUGUAAAGCACUUUACGUUGGGAGGAAGGGCCUCAGGUUAAUACCCUGAAGUUUUGACUUUACCACCAGAUUAAGCACCGACUAACUCUGUUCCAGCAGCCGCGGUAAUACAGAGGGUGCAAGCGUUAAUCGGAAUUACUGGGCGUAAAGCGCGCGUAGGUGGUUCAGUAAGAUGGGUGUGAAAUCCCCGGGCUUAACCUGGGAACUGCUUUCAUAACUGCUGAGCUAGAGUACGGUAGAGGGUAGUGGAAUUUCCUGUGUAGCGGUGAAAUGCGUAGAUAUAGGAAGGAACACCAGUGGCGAAGGCGACUACCUGGACUGAUACUGACGCUGAGGCGCGAAAGCGUGGGGAGCAAACAG
RNAcentral lists this ribosomal RNA (423 nucleotides) under uncultured bacterium. RNAcentral's name for it is "partial 16S ribosomal RNA". It matches the Rfam family "Bacterial small subunit ribosomal RNA", at positions 360 to 775 of the family's 1533-position model. The record is from RNAcentral.